This 1181-nucleotide long non-coding RNA is filed under the name Gallus gallus (chicken). RNAcentral describes it as "lncRNA (ENSGALG00010018711.1)". Lineage: Eukaryota; Metazoa; Chordata; Aves; Galliformes; Phasianidae. The record is from RNAcentral.
CAGGAGGCUUAGCUCUGCUUGCGUAUAGCAGUGAGGUCUUUGCUGUGCUUGGGAUGGGAGUCCCAGAGCCCAGAUCUGCUGAGACCUAUUUGGGGUGAGGGCAUGGGGACCCCAUAAACCUCCUGUACGGAGCCAUGGUUCUACCCUGGAAAUUAGACUCAAAAAGCCCUUGAAGGCUGAGGAUGGGCACCCCAUGAAUUCAGCAGCUCCUUCAAAUCAGAAGAGAAUAGACAAUGUAGCAAUCUGUGUUUGGUCCUGUGUUCCAAGCCCCAGCUGCUGGAGGCAGAUGAUUACAUGAGAAUCUCAGCUGACUUGAAGAAGCAGAAAGAGUUAAAAAUGAAGUUUUAAAAUCUUGUGGUUGAAAAGAAAGCUCAAAAACAUGUCCUCCGCACAGCCUCAGACCCAGAAGGCAAAUAAUAUGAAACCAAUCUGCAGUCUAAAUCUGCUAAUCGCACAAGUUUCUUGAUGGGGAGCAGUAUUUGUUAAGCGUCCAACAAAGGCGUCAGAAGAAGCAGAGUAGGAAACGAUCAAUGCAGUUGUGGCUUAUCUGAGCCACGUCAGCAAAUCACUGCUGCCACAUGCAAAGACCCUUGGUGGAUGCCGGCUCGCACUCAGAAGCUGCGGUGAUGUCAAGACCCCAAAGCCACACGAGUGAGAUGCAAACCCACGGCGAAACCAAGGAAGACGUAGUGAAUUCUGCAUGAGUGGUUUGAAGAGAGGGGAACCCCACCAUCUACAUGCAGAGAAGUGGGACGUGGGCAACACCUAUUGUACAGCUGCUCUCCAUCACUUGGCGUGAACAAUGGAACCAGGGCUGCCACUGGGACAACCUGGACAGUGCAAGAGAUGCCCAUUUUAAGAACAAAUGCGUUCUCCAUUCUGCAGGGCGGUGCUUGAGGUCCUCACUAAGGGGAGACCAGGUCCUGCGGCAGCUGUUGGCAAAGCUCCUGUGGACUUUGGUCUGGUCCAAAUUCCACCUCUUGAGUUUGACUACGGUCCAGCAGCGCCUAAGCCUGAUGCUGGCCUCCUGCCCUCCACUGAGUUUCCUCCUACAGCAACAGAACGGGGCCCGAGUUGUAUCUCGCCAAUAAAACAAAUAGAAUUAAAUGAUGCAAGGGUGUUUGAGUCGUGAUUUUCAUCAGCAUUUCCUUUUCACUGAGCUCAAAGUCUAGUUUGAAUGC